GGCUACGCUCGGCCCACGAGCUUAUCUCUUUCCCACUCGUCUCGACUCGUCGUCACCGCCGAUGGCAACUCAACCCCUGCAUCCGCGCCUCUGUGCGGCUUCUCCCCCUCCCAUCUUCCUCCCUCGGGCCUCCGCCUCCCGCCGUUCCUGGGUUCCUCCGCUGCGUCGAGGACCACCGAAUCGGAAGAUGAUCCAUGGAAGAUCCCUGAAUGAUCGAUUUCUUGGCAACAAGGACUACGCCGCGUUAGUCAAGGCCGUGAUUGUGAACGAAGAACCUGACAUUGCAUUUCAACUCGUAAAUGAAUUGAAAUCCAAAGGAUUUAAGCCUGGUUGUGAUGUCCUCUCCGGUUUGAUGCUUUGUUAUGCUAAAAAUGGCUUCUUCAUGCAAGCCCAGGCUUUGUGGGGUGAGAUCAUAAACAGCUCGUUCGAGCCGCGCAUCGAGGUCAUCUGGGAUCUGAUGAAGGCCUAUGCCCAGAUGGGCCAGUUUGAUGAGAUAACUAGGAUUGUCCAUGAGACCACCCUCAGAAAUUUUGGCUUCGGUCCUGAGGUUUACACGAUGGCUGUCUCUUGUUUUGGGAAAGCUGGCCAGCUUCGGUUGAUGGAGGAAGCUGUAAAAGAAAUGGUCUCAAGAGGUUUUAAGGUCAACUCUGUAAGUGGCAACGCUUAUGUUAAGUAUUACAGCAUAUAUGGUUCAAUGGAAGAUAUGGAAGCUGCAUAUGAGCGCUUGAAGAAAUCAAGAAUUCUGAUUGAGAAGGGAGCGAUCCGAGCGAUGGCAUCUGCGUACAUAAACCAAAGACAAUUCUAUAAAUUUGGUGAAUUUCUUCGGGAUGUAGGUCUUGGCAGACGGAAUGUGGGAAAUCUUCUGUGGAACCUACUUUUGCUAUCUUAUGCUGCAAAUUUUAAAAUGAAAAGCUUGCAAAGAGAGUUUCUUGGUAUGUUGGAUGCUGGUUUCUCACCUGAUAUAUCCACGUUCAAUAUCAGAGCAUUGGCAUAUUCAAGGAUGUCUAUGUUCUGGGAUCUCCAUUUGAGCAUCCAGCACAUGAGGUAUAAGCGUGUCAUACCAGAUCUUGUUACAUAUGGUUGCAUUGUGGAUGCCUUCUUGGAGAGAAGGCUUGCAAGAAAUAUUUCCUUUGAAUUACGAAAAUUGGAUGUUGAGGCCACUCCAAUUAUGUUAACUGAUCCGCUAGUUUUUGAGGUCUUUGGUAAGGGUGAUUUCCAUUCAAGCUCCGAGGCUCUAUUAAAAUCCACAAGGCAGAGGGAUUGGACAUAUUCAAAGCUCCUAGCAAUAUAUCUAAAAAAACAAUACAGGAGAAACCAAAUCUUUUGGAAUUAUUGAUGAAAUUCAUUGAUGUUUUCUCAGAAGACAAUGAUGAGGUUGCAACCAGAAUAUCUUUUAGGAGCGAAUGAACUCAGUAAUUUGAGGUUGGAAAGUCACCAAUCACCAUAGGAUUUAUAUACUUGAGCAGAGAAUACAUACAUAAAGUGCACACCAAGAAUGAAACACUCAGUAUUCUUGUAGGAUGUCUGGUGGAUCGAAGAACUAUGUAUGCAAAUUGAUUUCAUGCAUUGUAUUAUUUGUCAAACAGAGCAGCAGCUCAAGCACGAAAUUUUGAGCCUACAUGUACUGGAAAGAAUAGUUCUUUUAUGUUAUGAUUUA
This is an RNA transcript of Musa acuminata subsp. malaccensis (wild Malaysian banana), 1657 nucleotides long. It is a transcript of the gene named pentatricopeptide repeat-containing protein At3g42630, with no coding region annotated. The record is from RefSeq and is a predicted model, not a curated record. NCBI's taxonomy places the organism in Eukaryota, Viridiplantae, Streptophyta, Magnoliopsida, Zingiberales, Musaceae.